AUUGAACGCUGGCGGAAUGCUUUACACAUGCAAGUCGAACGGCAGCACGGACUUCGGUCUGGUGGCGAGUGGCGAACGGGUGAGUAAUGUAUCGGAACGUGCCCAGUCGUGGGGGAUAACGUAGUGAAAAUUACGCUAAUACCGCACACGAUCUACGGAUGAAAGCGGGGGAUCGCAAGACCUCGCGCGAUUGGAGCGGCUGAUAUCAGAUUAGGCAGUUGGUGGGGUAAGGGCCCACCAAGCCAACGAUCUGUAGCUGGCCUGAGAGGACGACCAGCCACACUGGAACUGAGACACGGUCCAGACUCCUACGGGAGGCAGCAGUGGGGAAUUUUGGACAAUGGGCGAAAGCCUGAUCCAGCCAUGCCGCGUGCAGGAUGAAGGCCCUCGGGUUGUAAACUGCUUUUGUACAGAACGAAAAGGUUUCUACUAAUACUAGGAGCUCAUGACGGUACUGUAAGAAUAAGCACCGGCUAACUACGUGCCAGCAGCCGCCGUAA
Molecule: ribosomal RNA, 500 nt
Filed under: uncultured bacterium
Lineage: Bacteria
Description: partial 16S ribosomal RNA
Rfam family: Bacterial small subunit ribosomal RNA
Source: RNAcentral